CCUACGGGUGGCAGCAGUGGGGGAUAUUGCACAAUGGGGGGAAGCCUGAUGCAGCGACGCCGCGUGAGGGAAGAAGGAACUCGUUAUGGAAAGCUCUAUCAGCAGGGAAGAAUAAAUGACGGUACCUGAGUAAGAAGCCCCGGCUAACUACGUGCCAGCAGCCGCGGUAAUACGUAGGGGGCAAGCGUUAUCCGGAUUUAAUGGGUGUAAAGGGGGCGUAGACGGCGAUGCAAGCCAGAGGUGAAAGCCCGCGGCUCAACUGCGGUAGUGCCUUUGGAACUGGAUGGCUGGAGUGCAGGGGAGGCAGGCGGAAUGCCUAGUGUAGCGGUGAAAUGCGUAGAUAUUAGGAAGAACACCAGUGGCGAAGGCGGCCUGCUGGACUGUAACUGACGUUGAGGCUCGAAAGCGUGGGGAGCAAACAGGAUUAGAUACCCUAGUAGUC
Molecule: ribosomal RNA, 442 nt
Filed under: uncultured bacterium
Lineage: Bacteria
Description: partial 16S ribosomal RNA
Rfam family: Bacterial small subunit ribosomal RNA
Source: RNAcentral